RNAcentral lists this ribosomal RNA (776 nucleotides) under Paralemnalia thyrsoides. Its description in RNAcentral is "eukaryotic LSU rRNA". It matches the Rfam family "Eukaryotic large subunit ribosomal RNA", at positions 402 to 999 of the family's 3401-position model. Lineage: Eukaryota; Metazoa; Cnidaria; Anthozoa; Malacalcyonacea; Nephtheidae. The record is from RNAcentral.
AAACCGUUGAAAGGGAAGCGAAUGGAGUUAGCAAUUCGCCUGUCAGACUCAGUUGCAUGCGCUUCGCGACGUGCGCGCUCUCGAUCCCCAUGGACGGGUCGCGUACGGAUGCGAUGUGCGAGCGGCGCAUUUCUGGCAGACGAGCGUCAGCGUCGGUUGUUGUCUAACGAAAAGGUCGCAAGGAAGGUAGAUUGGCCCUCGGGCUGGUUGUUAAGCCUUGCGCUCACAUGGUUAGACGGCGACCGUGGCAUUGCGACGCGUGCCCUGCUGGCGACCCGUGCUCUCGGUCUGGCAUGUCGACUGUGGCGGACGGCACGCCUGUGCGCUCAAACUGCUGCCGGUCGCGAGUACGGUGUUCGCACACAACGCGUCCAGGAUGCUGACGAUCAUACGGCUCCAUCCGACCCGUCUUGAAACACGGACCAAGGAGUCUAACAUGUGCGCAAGUCUCCGGGUGAUCGAAACCCGUGGGCACAAUGAAAGUAAAGACCGUCCCAGACGGUUGAGGUGAGAAGCCCCAAAAGGGCUGCACCAUCGACCGACCUAUUCUGCUCUCAGAAAGGUUUGAGUAAGAGCGUAUCUGUUGGGACCCGAAAGAUGGUGAACUAUGCCUGAAUAGGGUGAAGCCAGCGGAAACACUGGUGGAAGCUCGUAGCGAUUCUGACGUGCAAAUCGAUCGUCGAAUUUGGGUAUAGCGGCGAAAGACUAAUCGAACCAUCUAGUAGCUGGUUCCCUCCGAAGUUUCCCUCAGGAUAGCUGGAGCUCUUUCGUGCAGU